Molecule: non-coding RNA, 304 nt
Organism: Pelobates cultripes (western spadefoot toad)
Lineage: Eukaryota; Metazoa; Chordata; Amphibia; Anura; Pelobatidae
Source: the annotation of a GenBank genome assembly
GAUGAUUUCCAACAAGAUGAUCACCCAGCACCGAGUCAUUAUCGCUCUACACGUCAAACCCAUCAGGCCAGCCACUCCACCACACCAGCACGUCAUUACACUGACCCUGAUCAAUCUCAUCUAGACCUUGUACAAUAGGUAACCGGCAAACCUGUGUCUAACACCCCUGUCAUGGCAGUGUCUACAGGGGACAAGGGGGGACCCCUAGCUACAGUUGUACUACCAGUUAAGGGUCAUCCAACUACCUUCUUAGUUGACACAGGUGCAGCCCACAGUGUUCUCAGAGAACAAGACCUGCCUGACC